Molecule: unclassified non-coding RNA, 332 nt
Filed under: soil metagenome
Description: partial contains 5.8S ribosomal RNA, internal transcribed spacer 2, and large subunit ribosomal RNA
Rfam family: 5.8S ribosomal RNA (bases 1-120)
Source: RNAcentral
GAUGAAGUACGUAGCGAAAUGCGAUAAGUAGUGUGAAUUGCAGAAUUCAGUGAAUCAUCGAAUCUUUGAACGCACAUUGCGCCCUUUGGUAUUCCUUAGGGCAUGCCUGUUCGAGCGUCAUUUAAACCUUCAAGCUAAGCUUGGUGUUGGGUGACUGUCCGCUUCACGGCGGACUCGCCUCAAAAUUAUUGGCGGCCGGUACAUUGGCUUCGAGCGCAGCAGAAACGCGAACUCGGGCCCGUCGUAUUGGCUCCCAGAAGCUAUCUUCACAAUUUUGACCUCGGAUCAGGUAGGGAUACCCGCUGAACUUAAGCAUAUCAAUAAGCGGAGGA